This 63-nucleotide ribosomal RNA is filed under the name Duganella rivi. RNAcentral's name for it is "partial 23S ribosomal RNA". Lineage: Bacteria; Pseudomonadati; Pseudomonadota; Betaproteobacteria; Burkholderiales; Oxalobacteraceae. The record is from RNAcentral.
AUGCAUUAAGCUAACUGAUACUAAUUGCCCGUACGGCUUGUCCCUAUAACCUUGACGGUUAUA